GCUGCUUUUAAUAAAGAGUUGAUUAUCGGGGAAGGUCGAAGAAACCAUCAUUUAAAACAGUUCAGUGAGAAACUAGUUUUAGUGGAUCCAGCGGAAUUAGAAAUUCCAAUUAAGGAAGAAGAAUUGAAUAAUCGCUGUUCUGGUUUACGCUGUGGUCAGAAUACGUGGGCUCCGAGUGUAGCAGUUGAGCUACUCAAAGGCAAGUCUACACAGAUCAUCAUUAUCUCAGCUUUUCCGUCUACCUCCCAUGUGACAGAUGCUGUUAUCAAGGUUAUAAAGUGGACCUUCAAUCCAUUUUGUGUACUUUCUAAAAUCUGUAUGGAAUAGUUGGAGUUGUAAUCUAAAUGAACUGUAAGGUGGUGCCACCUGGUGUAUUAAAGGACAACUGUUACCAUUUUAGUCCAAACUUUUCACUUUGGUCUUCAGAAAAUCUAAUAUUCCUUAAAUAAAACCAUAAUUUUUUUGAUCUGCCAAAUCAUAUUAAAACUGUUAGGUGUCAUUUUGGAUGAGGUACAGACAUAAUAUUUGUAUAUGUGCAUUUCUUGGAUACUUUGUCUCUUUUAAUGAAUUAUUAAAAAAUUAUUUAUUUAAUUUAAUAUAUAACUAAACUUAUUUUGUUGUUCUGAUGUAUAUUUUACUUGUUAAUCUCCAAAAUCUUUUUUCAUUUAUACAUAUGACUAUUUUUUUUUAAUUCUUGUCUGUGUGUCUUGAUUGUAAUACUCUUUGUUUUUUAGUUCUUAAGGGUUGGAUUACUGUAAAAUGUAUUUUCAUAUAGACCGUCUACCUCAGUUUCAGUGUUAUACUUAUAGAUGCUAUUAAAGGCUCCCCUUUAAUUCUCCUUUUGAUAAUGUAGAAAUAUUCAUGCUAGGUUGAACCCCUGUGAAUUAGAUUGUUGGCUUGCUUUUCUAACUGACUAUGUGAGCUCUUGAAGCUCACCUUGUUUAAAGUUGGUUAAUAUAGUGUGUUCACUUAAGUAAUGGCUAACUUGUUUCCAUUGUGUUAAAAUCUACUUAAUUUGAAGUGUUUUUUGGAAGGUACUGAGUAUAGUUGCUUAAAAAACCAUCUUCCCUAACUUUGUACCAAGUCAGUUGCUUUUUUUAUUAAUCUGUAUUAUUGUGGCUCUGGUGUUAAAAUCUGUUUGAUUUUUUGUACGGAUUGAUUAUAUUAAGCAGAACUGAAUCUGAUCUCUCUUUCCUUCAUUCUUUUUUUUCCCUAAUAGUUUAUACAUGGCCCAAAUAUUCUUCAACCUUAUCAGUUAGUUAUAAAACUGAUUCUUUGAUCAAAUAAGUUCUUCAUUAACAGAAAAAUCAUCUAGAUGGCUAGGACUAAUUAGGUUACUGUUAUACAUCUGGAACAGAACCUGGGGUGUGACAUUUGUAUACUUUAUAAAAGCUAGAAAAUCUCCAGACUUAUUUUAACACGACAGGUAGAUGAACUGAUUGAGUCAUAAGGUUAAGGAGGUGAUUUUCCUCUGGAGUCUUAUAUAACCAAAGAAUCUACCUGGGACAAAAGUUGUUGUUUUUAAUGUAGCGUGAUUUCAUUUAAUAAGAACAAUACAUUUGAGAUGGAGAUGCAGAGUGAAGUGUAUUUUAUUUAUUAUUAAAUAUUUAGGUUUUACUUAACAAUGAGCUGAAGGAUUGUUUUUUUUUUCAUUAGUUGUAAGUAGUUAUAAUCUUUGUAUAACAUAUUGUUGCGAGGAGCCCAGUAUUCCACAGAUCGUUCUACACAUGACCACUGUUUUAAGAAGGGUUAAGUUUGCAUCUACACUGCUACUAACUGGUUUGUGUGCAAUGGAAAUCUUAUUUCUGGAUUGGCUUUGAGUUUUUUGCCCUGAUGAUAAUUUUAUCCAUUCUAAGACAAACUGAGUUUCUACUGGGCAUUGUGAUAUUCCACAACUAUCCUAAUGCCUGAGACUGUUUAUUUUGUAGUAGACAUCGUGGUUUUUAUCAUACUUAAAGGCUUUGAUGCCAUCCCUUUAGCAGUGGGGCAUUCUGUAACUUUAAUCAUGGCUGGGGCUGUUCAUGUCGAACACACAGUGAGUGGAUGAACAGUAAGUACGUUUUAAGAGAUUGAAUGCUAAUGUUUAUAAUAUUAUAUCUGUGGACAAUCAAAUAAAGAAGAUCUAGAUAUAAAAAUUGGUUCAAAAUUAAAACUCCUGUGAUUUUUUAAUUCUUAGGUAAAGCUUUUGAGUGUUUUGAAUGUAUAAAGUGUUUUUUCUCUGAAGAAAUGUUCUUUUGAUUAGAUGUCCAAAUCAAAAGUUUGACGAGAUGUUUUUCUGUUUGCUUGAUCCUUAUGCACAUGGUGAUGUUGUUUUAAUUAUGAAUAGUACCAUCACAAAAAAAAUGUUAAAGAACUCAAAGCUAUGCCUUAAAAGUUGUAAUAAUAAAUAAGUUAUAAUUGGCUAACUUUUUUAUUGGCGUGUAUUAAAUUCAAUAACAUUAAUAGUUUUUAAUAAAAUUAUUUUUCUCAUGACUAGAUAUUUAUAAAUGCAUUAGUAAUUAUGUGUACGUGGUUAAUGACAAUCUGAGAAAUAGAAUAGUAGGGUGAAAUAUUUUUACAAUAUACAGAUCUAGUAACAAAUCUUAUGAUUAAAGUUGUUUAUUCUUGAAACAUGUUGCACAAUUUGAAAUGUUUGUUUAUUUCUUCUUCUGAUCAGAGGCAUUUAUUUACUUGUAAGUAUGGCAAACCAUCCAAAUCAUUAAGUGUUAUAUGUGUGUAAAAAAAAGGGGGGGGGAUGUAUAAAUACUAUGUUGGCAUAACAUGAAUAUAAUAAUACAUGAAUGAGCUGCUUGAACUUUUUGGUCAUUUUCAGUGACACGGGUCCCUCAGUGGGACAGCGGUAAAUUUACAACCUUACAUCACCAAAAUCUGGGUGGACACAGCAGAUAGCCUAAUGUGGCUUUGUUCUGAAACAAACAAUAAAAUAUUUGUUUACAUUCUUUGUAAUGAUUUUAAGGUUGUAUCUGUACAAGAUAACCUACUUUUGAUGUAUGUUUAAUUUGUAUAAACUUUACACAUCAUGAAAGCUAUGUUUCAUCCCUUGAUUCUAUUCCAAUAAUUGCUGUUUAAUAGUUUAACAUUCCAAUGGCAAGGUUAGCUGAACACUGGAAAAUACCUUGGAAUAAAUCCAAGUUGUAAACCCAGAAAAACCGGUUUUUGAUAUCCUUAGUGAGCAAAUCACAGAUAACCCAUUGUGUAGCUUUGUGCUUAACAACAACAACAAAAAAAUUAUAUCAAUUCUAAAUGUAACUAAUUAAUAUUUUUUAUUGUUUCAGUAGACUUUGUUCAUCUUUAUACAUUCGUUGCUAAAUUUAUUUCACCUCCUUUUUUUUUGUUACAUUGUUCUGUAGAGAAACUUGGUUAUUCGAGUUUCACCCUAAAUCCAAUUUGUUAUUACUAUAUUUUUGUUUUCAGUUUUUAUGAGUGUUUUAUGAUCAGAAACAAAUUGUUUGUGAAUUGUGCGGUUAAAACGCCUUACAUUCUUGUAUACAUAUACCCUUUUAGCUCUAUUUUUAUAUUAGUUUUGAAAUAUCAGCAUAGCUAACAAUUUGGAAUGUAUUGCUUGAGCAUAUUUUAUCUUUUUUGUCAUGUAAUAACGUUUAUCAUACUGAUAUAUCUGCUAGAAUUAUUAACAUGGAAUACAAGUAAUUUGUAUUCCAAAGGAUCGUUUAAUUUAUUACAUCAAUAAAAGAUUUUUUUAAAUGA
Limulus polyphemus (Atlantic horseshoe crab) is the source of this 3705-nucleotide long non-coding RNA. RefSeq lists it as uncharacterized. The record is from RefSeq and is a predicted model, not a curated record. The transcript is spliced from 3 exons. Lineage: Eukaryota; Metazoa; Arthropoda; Merostomata; Xiphosura; Limulidae.